Molecule: long non-coding RNA, 1051 nt
Organism: Cucurbita moschata (crookneck pumpkin)
Lineage: Eukaryota; Viridiplantae; Streptophyta; Magnoliopsida; Cucurbitales; Cucurbitaceae
Exons: 3
Source: RefSeq, a predicted model, not a curated record
UAAGGGAUUGAGGAAAGAACUGGAGCAAAGAGGCACGAGAAGGAGGGAUUCGAAUUCGAAUUUGAGGUAAGUUUUCGUGGCUAUGAACCAAAUCUUCUUCAAGUGAUUUUACCUCAAAUGUUAAUGGAUUUCCAUGAUUUCAGUGGCUAUAGUUUUGUGUGAGGAAGCUUUACACAAUUUGUAAAGGAACUGAGACUUGAACGUACUUGUAGGGAGAGAUCAAGUUGAGAGAUUGAAGGUUCGUGGUGAAGUGUGAAGGAUUGAGGUGUGUAAGGCCUUCAUCAGAGUUGAGGAAACUGGGAGGUUCAAAAUACAAAAUAUUGUUCAUGGCUGGAGGUUAGGAAGUUGUGGAAUUGGAAUACUGAAUCAUGAAAUUUACUCUUGAGGUGAAAUAUAUACUCCAUGGAAAUGGAUGAAUGGGCAUCUUUAUCCCACCUUUUGCAGAGUUACUCAGUCGGAGAAAGGGAACUGGUGGGUGUGAACUUUUCAGAAAAGUGGGACUUUUACCACAGGUUAUUUAACCAAACAGCUUGCAUCUACCGGCAAUAUGGUAAAAUUCAAAUUCUACAAACUAUUACGGAGGGGGCAAUCUCUCAAGGAUGUCAAGUUCCUUAUUUGAGAGCUAAGUCAUGCUUGCAUUAACACUUUGAAAAUCUCCAUGGAUUACAAUUUCUCCAAGUUGCUGCCACUAAUGAUGAACAAUCAUGAGACGAAUUCAUUUAUCUAGCCAGUCUACCUACAAUUCAACAUUCUGGAACUUCUUACAAGAUGCCUUUGGUGGAGUUUUACAAGACCAGGAGAUACUUUCACCCUCCUUGAUGCGUCCCUCAUCAGCCAUCCAUUCAAGAAAGAGACAAAGAUCCUAUGAAAGAGAGUAAUUUGGGCUUUCUAUUGGAACUUAUGGCAGGAAAGAAAUGCACAGAUCUUCACAGAUAAGCAACAAAGCACCUAAACUUCGCAUAUAAUCUUUUCUUGCUUAAACAUGGAAAACGAUUUCGUCAUUUGUAACUAUAGUCUAUCGUCCCUCGAGACACAUUGGGGGUAUGUUUGU